CUGGUAGUGAGACUUGCGGGUGGGUCCGCAACAGGGACACUACGAGGUUGAGGGAGGUGGCUUUUGGCCACACGAGUAAAGGCAAGGGAUAACACUGUUGAACUUAUUUGAACUGUGAUGCAUGCACUGUAUUUACACUGAAAUGUUAUUGACUUAAUUGUCUGUCACACAGAUUCCUGUGUUUACUUUUAUCUUACUCACUGUACUAUUUUCACUUUCCCCUCCUAUUUCUCUUUCUCUUUGUUGAGAGAAGUGAUUGGUCACACACUUCUCGCCACGCUCCAAUCCGCGGCUACCACGGGUAGGCGGAAUCAGUGACUAGUCUACGUUUUGGGAAGACGUACUUAAAGAGCU
Pelobates cultripes (western spadefoot toad) is the source of this 354-nucleotide non-coding RNA. The record is from the annotation of a GenBank genome assembly. NCBI's taxonomy places the organism in Eukaryota, Metazoa, Chordata, Amphibia, Anura, Pelobatidae.